CAGCUUGUUGGUGAGGUAAUGGCUCACCAAGGCGACGAUCAGUAGCUGGUCUGAGAGGAUGAUCAGCCACAUUGGGACUGAGACACGGCCCAAACUCCUACGGGAGGCAGCAGUGGGGAAUAUUGGACAAUGGGCGAAAGCCUGAUCCAGCCAUGCCGCGUGAGUGAUGAAGGCCUUAGGGUUGUAAAGCUCUUCUACCCGGGAAGAUAAUGACGGUACCGGGAGAAUAAGCCCCGGCUAACUUCGUGCCAGCAGCCGCGGUAAUACGAAGGGGGCUAGCGUUGUUCGAAUUUACUGGGCGUAAAGCGCACGUAGGCGGAUCUUUAAGUCAGGGGUGAAAUCCCGAGGCUCAACCUCGGAACUGCCUUUGAUACUGGGGAUAUCGAGUCCGGGAGAGGGGAGUGGAACUGCGAGUGUAGAGGUGAAAUUCGUAGAUAUUCGCAAGAACAUCAGUGGC
RNAcentral lists this ribosomal RNA (457 nucleotides) under uncultured Alphaproteobacteria bacterium. Its description in RNAcentral is "SSU rRNA". It matches the Rfam family "Bacterial small subunit ribosomal RNA", at positions 242 to 716 of the family's 1533-position model. Lineage: Bacteria; Pseudomonadati; Pseudomonadota; Alphaproteobacteria. The record is from RNAcentral.